UUAAAGCUAUUUAAACUAUGG
This 21-nucleotide non-coding RNA is filed under the name Caenorhabditis elegans. Lineage: Eukaryota; Metazoa; Nematoda; Chromadorea; Rhabditida; Rhabditidae. The record is from RNAcentral.